RNAcentral lists this ribosomal RNA (560 nucleotides) under uncultured bacterium. RNAcentral's name for it is "bacterial SSU rRNA". It matches the Rfam family "Bacterial small subunit ribosomal RNA", at positions 224 to 801 of the family's 1533-position model. The record is from RNAcentral.
GAUCGGCCCGCGUCUGAUUAGCUAGUUGGUAGGGUAACGGCCUACCAAGGCGACGAUCAGUAGCUGGUCUGAGAGGAUGAUCAGCCACAUUGGGACUGAGACACGGCCCAAACUCCUACGGGAGGCAGCAGUGGGGAAUAUUGGACAAUGGGGGCAACCCUGAUCCAGCCAUGCCGCGUGAGUGAUGAAGGCCCUAGGGUUGUAAAGCUCUUUUGUACGGGAAGAUAAUGACGGUACCGUAAGAAUAAGCCCCGGCUAACUUCGUGCCAGCAGCCGCGGUAAUACGAAGGGGGCUAGCGUUGCUCGGAAUCACUGGGCGUAAAGGGUGCGUAGGCGGGUUUUUAAGUCAGAGGUGAAAUCCUGGAGCUCAACUCCAGAACUGCCUUUGAUACUGGGAAUCUUGAGUAUGGAAGAGGUGAGUGGAACUGCGAGUGUAGAGGUGAAAUUCGUAGAUAUUCGCAAGAACACCAGUGGCGAAGGCGGCUCACUGGUCCAUAACUGACGCUGAGGCACGAAAGCGUGGGGAGCAAACAGGAUUAGAUACCCUGGUAGUCCACGCC